RNAcentral lists this long non-coding RNA (504 nucleotides) under Marmota monax (woodchuck). Lineage: Eukaryota; Metazoa; Chordata; Mammalia; Rodentia; Sciuridae. The record is from RNAcentral.
CUGGACUUGGAUGCCUGGCGGUGGUGGCAGCAGACUCUGGGGACUGGGUGGGGCCGCGGGGGCUGCCAGGCCCAAGUGGAGUGGGUGCUGUUGUGUAGGUGGCGAUCCUGAGAUGGGGCUGUGCCGGGUUCCUAUGUCCCUGGGGGUGCCGGGUGGGGGUGGUCUGCGACGGACCCGAGCACUGGCCCUGAAGGAAGUUCGAAGACCCCCAGAGUCCAUCCUGCGGAGGUGAUCUGCCACCACCCGUGGAAGGACCCUCGUCUUACAUCAGACGUCGCCUGUGUGGGCGAGGCCCCUGUGGCCCUAGAGUUGGAGCAGGCUGAGCUCUCUGACCACGGGGGGUGCAUCCUGGUUCUUGCUGUCCCCAACCCUCUCCUCUCCUGGGUUUCCGCCCCCCAGAGCUGGUGAACACUGGAUACUGCUCAGUUCAGGGUUAAUUUCACGAACAAAUGCCAUUGGGUCUAGGUCAGAAUGGACCCCUGGAGACCCCAUGGGCUUGCCGGG